GAUCCAGGCUCAGGAUGAACGCUAGCUACAGGCUUAACACAUGCAAGUCGAGGGGAAACGGGCAUUGAGUGCUUGCUACUCUUUGGACGUCGACCGGCGCACGGGUGAGUAGCGCGUAUCCAACCUUCCCAUUACUGUGGGAUAACCUGCCGAAAGGCAAGACUAAUACCGCAUAGUCUUCGAUGACGGCAUCAGAAUUUGAAGUAAAGAUUUAUCGGUAAUGGGAUGGGG
RNAcentral lists this ribosomal RNA (231 nucleotides) under uncultured bacterium. RNAcentral's name for it is "partial 16S ribosomal RNA". It matches the Rfam family "Bacterial small subunit ribosomal RNA", at positions 15 to 230 of the family's 1533-position model. The record is from RNAcentral.